UACGAAGGGGGCUAGCGUUGUUCGGAAUGACUGGGCGUAAAGGGCGCGCAGGCGGACUGCACAGUCAGGCGUGAAAGUCCUGGGCUUAACCUGGGGACUGCGUCUGAGACGUGUGAUCUAGAGUGAGGAAGAGGGUCGUGGAAUUUCCAGUGUAGAGGUGAAAUUCGUAGAUAUUGGAAAGAACACCGGUGGCGAAGGCGGCGACCUGGUCCUUGACUGACGCUGAGGCGCGAAAGCGUGGGGAGCAAACAGG
RNAcentral lists this ribosomal RNA (253 nucleotides) under uncultured bacterium. RNAcentral's name for it is "partial 16S ribosomal RNA". It matches the Rfam family "Bacterial small subunit ribosomal RNA", at positions 524 to 776 of the family's 1533-position model. The record is from RNAcentral.